Long non-coding RNA from Cicer arietinum (chickpea), 596 nucleotides. RefSeq lists it as uncharacterized. NCBI's taxonomy places the organism in Eukaryota, Viridiplantae, Streptophyta, Magnoliopsida, Fabales, Fabaceae. The record is from RefSeq and is a predicted model, not a curated record.
GGUUGUGGUGGUGGUGGUGGUGGUUAUGGUGGCGGAGGGCGAGGAGGUUGAGAGGUGGAAGAGUGGUGGAGAUAUGGUGGACGAAGGAAGGAGUGGUGAGGAGGUUGUUGAAGAAUUUAGAAAGAGAACGGCAGAUGAUGAUUUGACGGAGGGGUAAAGAGGAGAAGAUGUGGUGAAGUGUGUCUUGAGGGAGGUGGUAGAUUAGUGGUGGUGGUGGUUGUUGUUCCAUUUUUGUGGCGGCGAAUUUGGUGUUGUGGUUGUGAAGAAGUUUGAAGGGGAAAGGGAUUGAAGGAUGCUUUUCUAACUUUUUUGAAGAAUUUUUAUUCACAUCGAAGGCUGCACAACUCCAAGGUGACCUAGAUUUUGUAAUUAGUCCUUUUUGUUCUAUGUCUUGGAUUUCUGCUUUGCAAUGUGUUUCAAGUUCAUAAUUCAUUUGGAUAUGUCUAGCUUUCGUUGGGAUUUGUUUAUCGGAAAAGUCAUUUUCAUAUGGUAGGUCUACCAUAUGUUGUUUUCUGUUCCAAAAAGCAUUUGAUAAAUCUGAACAGAUUUCGUUUUCAAUUCUUUUUUGGAGAUAUGAAAUUUUUUGUUUUAUGAAA